This 253-nucleotide ribosomal RNA is filed under the name uncultured bacterium. RNAcentral's name for it is "partial 16S ribosomal RNA". It matches the Rfam family "Bacterial small subunit ribosomal RNA", at positions 524 to 776 of the family's 1533-position model. The record is from RNAcentral.
UACGAAGGGGGCAAGCGUUGCUCGGAUUUAUUGGGCGUAAAGGGUGUGUAGGUGGCUUGAUAAGUUAGAUGUGAAAGCCCUGGGCUUAACCCGGGAAUUGCAUUUAAGACUGUUGAGCUUGAAGUUUGGAGAGGUUAGCAGAAUUCCCAGUGUAGAGGUGAAAUUCGUAGAUAUUGGGAAGAAUACCGAUGGCGUAGGCAGCUAACUGGCCAAAACUUGACACUGAGGCACGAAAGCGUGGGGAGCAAACAGG